GAUGAACGCUGGCGGUGUGCCUAACACAUGCAAGUCGAACGGAAGUAAGUGCUUCGGUAUUUACUUUAGUGGCGAACGGGUGAGUAACGCGUGAGGAACCUGCCUUUCAGUGGGGGACAACAGUUGGAAACGACUGCUAAUACCGCAUGAUACUUUUGGGGGCAUCCCUAAAGAGUCAAAGCUUUAUGUGCUGAAAGAUGGUCUCGCGUCUGAUUAGCUAGUUGGCGAGGUAAUGGCUCACCAAGGCGACGAUCAGUAGCCGGUCUGAGAGGAUGAACGGCCACAUUGGGACUGAGAUACGGCCCAG
RNAcentral lists this ribosomal RNA (307 nucleotides) under uncultured bacterium. RNAcentral's name for it is "bacterial SSU rRNA". It matches the Rfam family "Bacterial small subunit ribosomal RNA", at positions 28 to 334 of the family's 1533-position model. The record is from RNAcentral.